This is a long non-coding RNA of Sceloporus undulatus (fence lizard), 603 nucleotides long. RefSeq lists it as uncharacterized. The record is from RefSeq and is a predicted model, not a curated record. Lineage: Eukaryota; Metazoa; Chordata; Lepidosauria; Squamata; Phrynosomatidae. The transcript is spliced from 2 exons.
CCUACCAGGUUUGGUUUCUUCCUUGUCCGAUUUCAUGCUGGAGAAGGAGGAGAGAGAAAGGCAGCUCCAAAGGUCUGGCCGAGGCUGCUUUCUACCCUUUCUUCCUUCUCUUCUUCUCUUUCUGUUUGUUCUCUCUCUCUCUCUCCUUCUCUUCUCCUGGCAGCUCCUCCUCUCCUUCCAAACAGGAAGUGCCGUGUGCCAUCCGUACUACCUGAACCACCUGGAACCUGACCUUGUUGCAGGUGCCGGAGAUCUCCGGUGCACACUCACGGCCGGGAAAGAGGCGUUCCUCCUUGGAAAGCUGGCUUACCUGCUCUGCCAAGCCGCCAACCAAAAUGUUUCAAGGUGGCCCGGCUGGAUUCCUGCACCAGAUUCUUCCUCCAAGGUGCUCAGCAAAGGAAGCUGCAAGGCCCUGAAAUCUAAGGAAACGCUGGUCUUGCGGGUUUAGGAGGAACAGAGAAUAAUAAUAAAAGAAACCGAAGAAACCAUCGACGUGAGUAAUGCAGAGAAAAUUGUUUUGCCUCCACCGUCGUGUCAAGGCAGAAUAGCGCAUUUGAUUAUUUUGUGCUGGCCGUGUGCCGUAAUAAAUGAUUGUAUUGGUUG